RNAcentral lists this ribosomal RNA (442 nucleotides) under uncultured Eubacteriaceae bacterium. RNAcentral describes it as "bacterial SSU rRNA". It matches the Rfam family "Bacterial small subunit ribosomal RNA", at positions 338 to 795 of the family's 1533-position model. The record is from RNAcentral. Lineage: Bacteria; Bacillati; Bacillota; Clostridia; Eubacteriales; Eubacteriaceae.
CCUACGGGAGGCUGCAGUGGGGAAUCUUGCACAAUGGGCGAAAGCCUGAUGCAGCAACGCCGCGUGAGCGAAGAAGGCCUUUGGGUCGUAAAGCUCUGUCCUAGGGGAAGAAAAAAAUGACGGUACCCGAGGAGGAAGCCCCGGCUAACUACGUGCCAGCAGCCGCGGUAAUACGUAGGGGGCGAGCGUUAUCCGGAAUUAUUGGGCGUAAAGAGUGCGUAGGUGGCUUUGUAAGCGCGGGGUGAAAGGCAGUGGCUUAACCAUUGUUAGCCCUGCGAACUGUGAGGCUUGAGUACAGGAGGGGGAAGCGGAAUUCCUGGUGUAGCGGUGAAAUGCGUAGAUAUCAGGAAGAACACCGGUGGCGAAGGCGGCUUUCUGGACUGUAACUGACACUGAGGCACGAAAGCGUGGGGAGCAAACAGGAUUAGAUACCCGGGUAGUC